Molecule: long non-coding RNA, 5367 nt
Organism: Lates calcarifer (barramundi perch)
Lineage: Eukaryota; Metazoa; Chordata; Actinopteri; Centropomidae
Exons: 2
Source: RefSeq, a predicted model, not a curated record
UUAUCCUGUAUGCUCAUGUGUAGAUUAAACCAACAAGAUAUAAUAUGUUAAUCAGAGAUCUUUAAGGGUCCCUGUAGGUGACUUUUGUUAUCUUUGUACACUGCCAAGCUAGCUGCUUAUCCUGUUUCCAGUCCUUGUGCUAAGCUAAGCUAACUGGCUAAAUUUUACAGAUAAUUGUGUGAGUGGUAUCAAUCUUUUCAUCUAACUGUCCUCCAAAAAACAAUUAAGCAUAUUUCCUUCCCAAAUUAUUGAACCCUUUCUUUUAAGCUGUAUCACUGUCUACUGGCCUGGCAUGCUGCCUUUUCAAUGAUUUUUGCACAUCAGUGUGCAUGAAGAUUGUUUUCUCAAUGUUGUCAUGUGAACGUGGAACUUUUUUAAAACACAAAGGAAAAACGUUUCAGUUUUUAGCAAAACUGUUUAUGUGUAAACAUACUAACUAAGCCCUGCCUAUCUGCUGAUGAAUUUCCAAAAUAAACUACCCACCACAUGAACACAUGAUACAUAUGGAAGAGUGGGGGGAGCAGUUUAAAGGAUAUAAUGGGUCUGAGGUUUACAGUAAAUUUGUAAUCUUGAUUUGCUGUCGAUUUGUUAUCUACUAUCUCUCCUGUUACACUAAUGGCUCUGAACUGGAGCUUAAAGGCAGUCACAAAGAUCUUGUGUUUGACCCAGACUCCUGAGCAAGAUAAAGGUGUCUGUCUAUCUAAGGACAAACCCAGCUGGGGAACCAAGCCAGUGGAGACUGCCUUAUCUUUCAUUGUCUUGCUCUUGUGGUGCCCAAGGCUAGACAAUGUGAUAGAAAGCUUGCUACAGCUCUUCUGGCACUGGGGUACUUUUCCAUUACACGCCUGAAAGUUUCUGUGCCAGCUGUAAAUUUGCCAGAGACAAGCAGGGAAGAUGCAGGCACACCUGUAGAUUACAAUGUGGCUCAUUAAUGAGAGUGAGAGAAACUUUUGUAUCAUAAUUCAAUGUUUUCUCAAAUCCUUUUCAGUGCUGCUGAACACAGAGGGAGAAAGUCCAACAUGGAGGAGGGACACUGGCAAUCAGUCCAGUUUGUCAAGGAAACGGCUUUGCAGCACAGAGGCCAUGAAUGGAUGACGAUGAUCUCUGGCUGCACAGAAGCCUCACUGGAUCACAGCUAAUGAACUCAGGCAUACUGCACCAGCUGGCUUCAAGUUCUGAGUGGAGACAAGGACGUACUCAGGGAUUGGUUGUGAGUACAAAAACAUCACAUGCUCUCGUUUUUGUUCAGAGAUGAUUUGUGUUUGAUUUAAGAGGAAUUAUGGUAAGUACAGGGGUUCUCAAGUUUUCUAAUUGAUACAAGUGCUUUUCUGGCUCAUCGGUUAUAGUGGGUGUUCUGUGGGGUAUUCUGUUAAUCAACAUACACAAAAUAACAAUUUGCACUGUAUUUAUGAUUAAUAGAAAGUAAGUAAGUUUAUUCAGUAUUUAAAUAGUUACACCUUAUCCUCCGAUAAUUCCCUGGUAGCUAUGCCCCGGGCAAGGCUGAAAACCAAGGGGGACAGGGCUUUUGCUGUUAAAGCCCCAACCCUCUGGAACUGCUUACCUCAGGAACUUAGACUAAAAACCCCACUAUCUGCCUUUAAAUUGUCUCUCAAAAUGUACUUGCAUAGUUAUUUUAUCUGUUACUUUUAUGUGUUACUUUUAUCCUUUAUUUCUACCUUUAACUGUUUUAUGUGUUAUUUUAUUGUCUUGAUUUUAACUGAUUUUGUUAUUUUAUUUAUUGUCUUGAAUAAAAUAAAGUAAGUUUUAAGAGGUACUACAUCAAUUAUUAUUAUUAUUAUUAUUAUUAUUAUUACUAUUUAAACUCAGUUAUGCAUUUUUAGCACAGCUCCAAGGAUGGCAAAGGUGGUUGAUCAGUUCACCAUUCUGGUCCAGGCAGAAAUAUCUCAACAACUAUUGAAUGGAUUACCAUGAAAUUUUAUACUGACAUUAAAGACGCCAAGAGGAUGAAUCCUAAUGACAUUCGUGAUCCUCAGACUUUUCAUCUAGCACAACCAUGAGGUCUCAUGACCAUGUCUCGACAUAGUCAGACGGUUGGCUAUGAAAUUUGAAAAUUUGGAAAUUUGGAAGUCAUUCAUGUUCCCCUCAGGAUGAACUGUGAUAACAUUUGUUAGCUAGCUAGAGCUGUUAUCAGGUCAAAAUACAUCUGAUUAUUUGGUUUAUAACCAAGUAAAUGCAAGAGUAAUUACUUUUCCAUCUGCCCCAGCUGUACUUUGUGUUUACAGCUAAAUAGCAAAUGGUGAACAUCAGCAUGUUAGCAUGUAGCAUUUAGCUCAAAGCUUGUCAUUUUAGAAGGGUUGUCUUUCAACAUGUAUACAAUAUUAGGCCAGUUUACCUAAUUCUAAAUACUGUAAAUUGAGUGUUCAUUUGCAUUAUCUCCACCAAUAUUCAACAACUGAAGUCUUGUCAAAUAGUAUUUGUCUGUAUUCUUUUAGUGAGAUGUCCAACAGGUGAUUUCCUUUAUUUUUCUCAGAAGUGAACUCACUCAUGAGGGAUUGGUUGGUGGUGGUGUUCUUUAAGGAAUAUGUCAUAAUAUCCUAACACAAAGUCUAUCACAUGUCUGCUGUGAAUGUAGUGUAAAUUCACUACAAUGAAAUAAGUUUUCAUUUGGUUCUAUUUAAAUAUUAACAGUCGAUGCAUAGCUCAGUGCAUUCUGUUAAAAACAGGAGCCAGUUUUCAUCAGAACUUAAAUCCUUCUUUUCUAUGGAGCUUUGUUGCCAUAAAUGUAUACUUAGCUCUUAAUUAUAUGGUGGCUAACUACAGAUUCCAAAAGUGAUUGCAGUAAGGAGACUUUAAUAGCUUUGUGGCUCCUCCUAUAAACUUUAAUUACAGCCGGUGUGAAUAUUGUUUUGAAAGGAUCGUUUUUCAUCCUGCUGUAAUGAAAACGUGUUGGAGGGCAGAGAGGAUAGAGUGGGACAAUAUAUCCCCUCUCUUUUCAAGCUCAGGAAGGAGGCUUCCACCACAGGGACAGUGGAUCUCUGAGGGCAGGAGGCCUCUGCAGGCGUGUGGCUCGCCACCGGCCACUGGCUCAGGGGACAGCUGUGUCGCGCUGUGGUGUUUGGCCCUGUGCCCUGAGUCAGCAGUUGCCAUAAACAAACAGUGCUGAAAGCUACUGGCCCAGUCCCCAGCUCUUUUCAAGAUGGUGCAGCAAGCUUGCUGACCUCCAACCAGUCCACUCCAUUAAGUUUCAAUAGAUUUUAACAGCACUUUGGAGAACUGAGCUGGUUAAGAAAUGCUGCUUGUCCUGUCCAAAAUAGGUGGAAUGAAAAUGAGAGCAAAGUGGGUGCUAGACACUUUAUUUUUCCAUAUUUGCUCUGUUACUGCUAACCAUGAAUUCACAUGCUAUUAGAUGUAUUGGAAAAAAAACACUUUUCAAUCUUGGGAAGUUCACAGGAACACCAUUCAUUAAGUUGGUUGAGGAAGUCAGAAAGUUGGAGAACAUUUUGCACACCAGCUCUCAGUUAAAUAGGAUCAAAGUUUUAUGUAAGAAGACUGUAUAAACAAUGUAAAUAUGCUUUACAUAACAAUCUCAACUCAAGGUCCACUUUCUACACUUACUAACUUCUUCUGGAGCUUUAAAACUUGGUCAUAAGCAAUUCAGGUUUUCUCAUUUACUGUGGAGAUGGAUCUGUUGACAUGCAAGCUCAGUAGCUGUUAUGAUACUGUCAGUGUUAGCACAAAAGUUCAACUAAACAAUGUAGUCAGAGGCUCUGGAAAAAGCUAGUAAGUGGACCUUGAGUUGGGAUUGUGUUUUUUAAACUACUGUUGUCUAAGUCAAAAAGGAACUGUCAUGUCUCACUGUAAACAUUUUUUUUCAAGUAUUUGAUGUUAGCCUUAUUAACCAUCAACCAGUCAAACAUUUUUGGGAAAACACAUUUGCUCUCUUACUGGGAGUUAAGUGAGAACCACUUUUGUGUCUGUCUAUUAAGUAUAAAACUGAAGCCAUUAGAUAGUUAACUUAGCAUAUAGAGUGUAGUGGCAAACAGCUAGCCUGGCUCUGUCGUAAGGUAAAAAGUAACAGCAACCUGUUCCUCUAUCACCACAGAUUAUAAAUGGACUAAACAAGCAUGAUACUUGUUAAUAAGCAGGUUAAAUGAGUUUGGUUGGCAGAUUUUGUUACCUCUAGUCAGAGCCAGUCUUAACGCUUAACUGGAUGCAGCUUUAGCCUUAAAUUGAACAGACAAUCAGACAUCAGACAAUCAUUUUUUCCCUCUAACUCUUGACAAGAACAUGUUUUCCCCAAAAUGUUAAACUAUUCUCCUAAAAUGUAAUGUAAAUGUAAAUGUAAAAAAAAAAAUAUUUUCCUCCACUUUUUGUAUUAGGAAAAAUAUCACGUCACAAAAAUGAUUAGCUGUUGAUAUGGUAAUCCCCAAUGUCAGACCCUUCGAGCAGUGUGUGAACACACAAAUACACUCUUUCUCUGAACUUUGUGUUAUGGCAAUAUCAAGUAGUGUUGAGUUUACUCAGCCAAGUUAAGCCCAAAUGAGCUGUUGAUGUCGUCAUGGCUGAGUUCAUCCUCUCUGUGCUUUUGGAAGGCUCAUACUCUAGCUAGAUUAGCUCCCUAGACAAUUUUAGUGUAUUGUAUUCAGUUACUUAAAUGCUAUUUCAAUUAAUGUGCUUAAUUUUAAACAUCAGAUCCUUGUUAUUUAAUCUUUUUUCAUCAUGCAAGGUGACUUUUUGGCAACAUGACAAUUAAAUUUGAAAGGUAAUCUAAAAUACAAAGUAAUCUAAAGUAAUUUGGAAAGCACAGUCACAUGGGUUCCAGUACAGUAUAUAGCUGUAAUUGCCAAAUUGAACCAGACACUUUAUUAAAGUAGUGAUGUGGAGUCAAUUGAAAGCAGACGGGACACAUUUCAUUGCAUGCAAAGCUCAUGUUGCCAGUAAUUCUGAGAGAGACUUUCAUUAUUUCCAACACGAUUGUUCCAAGUGUUACUUCCAAGACAAUAUUACAAUCAAUCACACCCUGCAACUCACUGAAUACUUUUAUGAGCAUGAAAACUGUGUGAGCCUUUUUUGGUGAUUAAAGUCACAUGACCCCAACUAAGAGAUUGUUGAGCAGAGCCUGACGUAGUGUUUCCUAUCAUCAUAAACACAGCAUCAAAUAGUUGACUUUGUUUUGUAAAACCACUUUCACAUGUUUCCAGCUCCUCCUGCAACUAAAUGAAAACACCUGAGCUGUCCAAAAUGUCCAAUGGAGACAUUUGACCCUCUGUGUUUAUGUUCAUUUUAACUGUUAUUUUUAUAUGAGCCAUCAUUUUGCAUGCUAGACUACAAAAACAGUGAUUAUACAGGCAUAUAUCACAUGCCUGUGGUUGAUCCCUUUAUUAAAAGUAAAUACAUGAAUGAAAA